GACGAACGCUGGCGGCGCGCUUAACACAUGCAAGUCGAGCGAGAACCAUGGCUUCGGCCAUGGGGACAGCGGCGAACGGGUGAGUAACACGUGGGCAAUCUGCCCUCGGCACUGGGAUAGCCCGGGGAAACCCGGAUUAAUACCGGAUAGCCUCUCGAGCUCACGGGGCUCGUGAGAAAAGAUGGCUUCGGCUUUCGGCUGAGGAGGAGCCUGCGGCGGAUUAGCUGUUGGCGGGGGUAACGGCCCACCAAGGCGACGAUCUGUAGCUGGUCUGAGAGGACGAUCAGCCACACUGGGACUGAGACACGGCCCAGACUCCUACGGGAGGCAGCAGUGGGGAAUCUUGCGCAAUGGGACGAAAGCCUGACGCAGCGACGCCGCGU
This 383-nucleotide ribosomal RNA is filed under the name uncultured bacterium. RNAcentral describes it as "bacterial SSU rRNA". It matches the Rfam family "Bacterial small subunit ribosomal RNA", at positions 28 to 402 of the family's 1533-position model. The record is from RNAcentral.